AUGGGGCUGAGAACCUCAAUCUUUUUCUCAACAGAGAGACAUUUGUGCACAUCUGGAAAUAUAAAGCUACAUUUAAACACUAGGAAACUGAAUAGUAUAAAAAGACCUGGGUGUCUGCUACCUAACAAAAUAGGAAAAGAAAAAGAGAUGACUAAGACAAAGGAAUGUAACUGCUUCUUUAACUCUCUUACUCCUUCACACUUGCGGAAGAGAGAACUGUGCAGAACAACAGAGAGAGGGUGACUGGAGAACUGAAAGGAGAAUUUUUGCCUAAACAAGAGUAGCUGAAGGAAAAAACCUUUGGAUCAGUAAUUUUUAUUCUGAUAAAGUUCCUUCAGAGUUAGUAAAUUGUGAGGUUUACUUUUUUGACUGAUGUUUUAAGUGAAAUCUCAGGAUUAAAAUCAGCCAUUAAAGAGAAACCUGCCUUUAUGAAUCUUUAAUUAUGAAAAAUUAUAUCAACCUUUUCACUUCUACAUUGAAACUCUUAAACUGAGUUUACAAUUGAAUGUAAUUUAGAAUGCACUGUAAUAUUAAGAAAUCUUAAA
This 545-nucleotide long non-coding RNA is filed under the name Manacus vitellinus (golden-collared manakin). RNAcentral describes it as "lncRNA (ENSMVIG00005007579.1)". Lineage: Eukaryota; Metazoa; Chordata; Aves; Passeriformes; Pipridae. The record is from RNAcentral.